UGCCGCGUGAGUGAUGAAGGCCUUAGGGUUGUAAAGCUCUUUCGCACGCGACGAUAAUGACGGUAGCGUGAGAAGAAGCCCCGGCUAACUUCGUGCCAGCAGCCGCGGUAAUACGAAGGGGGCUAGCGUUGUUCGGAAUUACUGGGCGUAAAGGGCGCGUAGGCGGCUUUUCAAGUCAGGCGUGAAAUCCCCGGGCUUAACCUGGGAACUGCGUUUGAGACUGGAAGGCUUGAGUUCGGGAGAGGUGAGUGGAAUUCCCAGUGUAGAGGUGAAAUUCGUAGAUAUUGGGAAGAACACCAGCGGCGAAGGCGGCUCACUGGACCGAUACUGACGCUGAGGCGCGAAAGCGUGGGGAGCAAACAGGAUUAGAUACCC
This 375-nucleotide ribosomal RNA is filed under the name uncultured Alphaproteobacteria bacterium. RNAcentral describes it as "bacterial SSU rRNA". It matches the Rfam family "Bacterial small subunit ribosomal RNA", at positions 395 to 787 of the family's 1533-position model. The record is from RNAcentral. Lineage: Bacteria; Pseudomonadati; Pseudomonadota; Alphaproteobacteria.